GCAAGUCGAGCGGAUGAGUGGAGCUUGCUCCAUGAUUCAGCGGCGGACGGGUGAGUAAUGCCUAGGAAUCUGCCUGGUAGUGGGGGACAACGUUUCGAAAGGAACGCUAAUACCGCAUACGUCCUACGGGAGAAAGUGGGGGAUCUUCGGACCUCACGCUAUCAGAUGAGCCUAGGUCGGAUUAGCUAGUUGGUGAGGUAAAGGCUCACCAAGGCGACGAUCCGUAACUGGUCUGAGAGGAUGAUCAGUCACACUGGAACUGAGACACGGUCCAGACUCCUACGGGAGGCAGCAGUGGGGAAUAUUGGACAAUGGGCGAAAGCCUGAUCCAGCCAUGCCGCGUGUGUGAAGAAGGUCUUCGGAUUGUAAAGCACUUUAAGUUGGGAGGAAGGGCAGUAAGUUAAUACCUUGCUGUUUUGACGUUACCAACAGAAUAAGCACCGGCUAACUUCGUGCCAGCAGCCGCGGUAAUACUAAGGGUGCAAGCGUUAAUCUGAAUUACUGGGCGUAAAGCGCGCGUAGGUGGUUCGUUAAGUUGGAUGUGAAAUUCCCGGGCUCAACCUGGGAACUGCCUCCAAUACUGGCGAGCUACAGUACGGAAGAGGGAAGUGGAAUUUCCGGGGUGG
RNAcentral lists this ribosomal RNA (626 nucleotides) under Stutzerimonas stutzeri. RNAcentral's name for it is "bacterial SSU rRNA". It matches the Rfam family "Bacterial small subunit ribosomal RNA", at positions 57 to 678 of the family's 1533-position model. Lineage: Bacteria; Pseudomonadati; Pseudomonadota; Gammaproteobacteria; Pseudomonadales; Pseudomonadaceae. The record is from RNAcentral.